UAGAGUUUGAUCCUGGCUCAGGAUGAACGCUAGCUACAGGCUUAACACAUGCAAGUCGAGGGGAAACGGCAUUGAGUGCUUGCACUCUUUGGACGUCGACCGGCGCACGGGUGAGUAACGCGUAUCCAACCUUCCCAUUACUGUGGGAUAACCUGCCGAAAGGCAGACUAAUACCGCAUAGUCUUCGAUGACGGCAUCAGAUUUGAAGUAAAGAUUUAUCGGUAAUGGAUGGGGAUGCGUCUGAUUAGCUUGUUGGCGGGGUAACGGCCCACCAAGGCGACGAUCAGUAGGGGUUCUGAGAGGAAGGUCCCCCACAUUGGAACUGAGACACGGUCCAAACUCCUACGGGAGGCAGCAGUGAGGAAUAUUGGUCAAUGGACGGAAGUCUGAACCAGCCAAGUAGCGUGCAGGAUGACGGCCCUAUGGGUUGUAAACUGCUUUUGUAUGGGGAUAAAGUUAGGGACGUGUCCCUAUUUGCAGGUACCAUACGAAUAAGGACCGGCUAAUUCCGUGCCAGCAGCCGCGGUAAUACGGAAGGUCCAGGCGUUAUCCGGAUUUAUUGGGUUUAAAGGGAGCGUAGGCUGGAGAUUAAGUGUGUUGUGAAAUGUAGACGCUCAACGUCUGACUUGCAGCGCAUACUGGUUUCCUUGAGUACGCACAACGUUGGCGGAAUUCGUCGUGUAGCGGUGAAAUGCUUAGAUAUGACGAAGAACUCCGAUUGCGAAGGCAGCUGACGGGAGCGCAACUGACGCUUAAGCUCGAAGGUGCGGGUAUCAAACAGGAUUAGAUACCCUGGUAGUCCGCACAGU
Molecule: ribosomal RNA, 809 nt
Filed under: uncultured bacterium
Lineage: Bacteria
Description: bacterial SSU rRNA
Rfam family: Bacterial small subunit ribosomal RNA
Source: RNAcentral